Long non-coding RNA from Apus apus (common swift), 2475 nucleotides. RefSeq lists it as uncharacterized. NCBI's taxonomy places the organism in Eukaryota, Metazoa, Chordata, Aves, Apodiformes, Apodidae. The transcript has 3 exons. The record is from RefSeq and is a predicted model, not a curated record.
AAAGGGAGCUUGGGCUGGCUAGUGAGUCUACAGAGGAAAAGGAGGAGGAACAGGUGGAAAGGCUGGAAAGGUUACCUUCUGCUGCUGCUUGAUGCUUGUCCCUCAGCUGGAAACAACCACCCUUGGAGCUGAGCCGAGGAAAGAACAUAUUUGGGGCCUGAUGUUAGGUCAGAAUUGGAACUGGAACUUUGAAAACAAAGCUUUUUUCCCCCAAAACAGUGCUGUAAGCUAGUCCCUCAGCUAGCCUGCAUCAAAAGAAGUGUGGCCAGCAGGUCAAGGGAGGUGAUUCUGCCCCUCCACUCUGCUCUUGUGAGAUCCCACCUGGAGUACUGUGUCCAGUUCUGGAGCCCCCAGCAUAAGAAGGACAUGUAUCUCUUGGAGCGAGUCCAGAGGAGGGCCAGAAAAUGAUCAGAGGACUGGAGCACAUUUCCUAUGCAGACAGAGUGAGAGAGUUGGGGCUGUUCAGCUUGGAGAAGAGGUGACUCUGGAGAAACUUUAUUGCAAGCCUUUCAAUAUUUAAAGGAGGCCUAUAAGGAAGAGGGGGAGGGACCUUUUAGUAGGGCUUUUGGUGAUAGGACAAGGGUUAAUGGUUGUAAACAGAAAGAGUGUAGAUUUAGCCUAGAUAUAAGGAAGAAAUCUUUCACAAUGAGGGUGGUGAAACACUGGAACAAGUUGCUAAGAGAGAUGGUAGAAGCACCAUCCCUGGAAAAUUUCAAGGUUAGAUUGGACAGGGCAACUCUGAGCAACCUAAUCUAGUUGAAGAUGUUCUUGCUCACUGCAGGAGGGUUGGACUAGAUGACCUUUAAAGGCCCCUUCCAAUCUAAACCAUUCCAUGAUAAAUAGAGUAGGACUCAGAAUAUUUUUUUUCUGUUCAUGUCUGUCCUGUACGUUCUACUUCUCAUAGUAACUUCUCAUAAUACUUCUUUAAGUAUCAUAUUUUUUAUGAUACUUUAAUGGAUCAUAUCGAACAUUCCCAUCUUGCUUGGAAGGUGCUUUUCAUGGGGGCACUUUGCUGUUUGACCCCACCGUGUGGAUCAUGGUGUUAACUUUUGAUUGAGACCUUGGUAUUUCUGCAGAGUAAAGAGUUAUCAAAUAUAUUCAGAACUUAAAAUUCAGAUGAGAGCAGCUUGUGCGGGUGCAGGGAUGUGCAUAGGAGAGAAGGGCAAAAUAAUAGUUCAGUUAUUUUAUUUUUGUGCUGCAGGACAAACCUUGCAAAACCAUGGAGGCUUUGCAACAUGUUUUCUGUAACUGGCCAAAUAAAAUAUUAUGUUGUAAAGCAUUCAAGGUCAGAGAAGUAACUUGGUCUCUGGGCUUUGCAUUUUUUCUUCCUCACAAUAGCUUCUGCUGAAUUAUAAUCUUUAAUCUGCAUGUGGGGGGCCAGAACCUGACUGCCAUUGCAUCUGCUCCGCACUGCUGCAAAAAAUGCAGAGCAGGCAGAAAGUUAGCCUAGCUGGAUUGCUGGAGAUUAUUACCCUGACCUAGUUUGUCAGCUGUGGUGCAGGAACUGGAUGCUGUGGCCAGAGUAUAGCAGCAGGAAGAGGAUUUGUUGCAAUGCUCAUGUGUUUGAGUAUGUGUUGGAUGGAGUUGUGCAUAUCCCCCCCCCAUUAGCACCUCAAGGGUGAGAUGGUCCCUAGCCGCUCUUGCAACAGGGCUCUGAUGCUUGGCAGCAGCCAGAGCUAUGGCUUUGAUUGGUUUCCGGAGAUGCAUGUCGUUGCCAUUUGAGAAAUGCCUGUGUCACAUGCAGUGCAGCUUUUACGGCUUGCUCUUGUGUAUGUUUCUUGACGCAAACGGCAGAGUGUUUUGUUGCUAGAUAGUGAUCUAGAGCAAGCACCGCAGCUGGGGUAUUCCUGCUGCAGCCUCCCCAGUGAGCGAGCCUGGGUACAACCACACACAUUUCUGUCAUGAAGCAAUCUCCUGUAAAUGUUUCCCGGAGCUUGGUUUGCUUUCAGCAGCAAGCAAGGACAUUUGCUGUAUUGGAGGGCCACCCUGAUGUCUAACGCAGAGCUGGAUUCUACAAACAGUGGAAACUUUCUGCAUUUAAACGAAGAAAAUCAAACUGGAGUCGGCUGGAGCUAUUUGUAGAGCUUGCUGUGUUUGAGUAAGCCAGCCUUUUUUGUUAAAGACUCUGGAUGGAUGAUUGUAUACAGGGUUUUUUUCCCACUGUUUAAAAUUGAUAUGUUGUUUUAACAAUAAUUCACUCUUGGCUAGUUUGUUUUUUAAAAAAUGUCUGCAUCGAGUUUACCCAUGAUUAUUUAUCUCUGGAAUUCCAAUAUUGCCUAUUCUCCAUUUUCUUGCAAAUUGAAAAUACUCUGAGCUUUCCUCAGAGGCACGGAUCCUGAAACAGAAUAAGGAGAAAAUCUCAGUUUUCAUUGCAAUGCAAUAUUAAAAUAAUACUUUUUGUUUUGUAAUGAUGGAGAAAAGAUUGAAAACAAGAGCUGAAUAUACUCCACAGGCUCAGGAACCAGAAAAUAAUAA